Molecule: small RNA, 354 nt
Filed under: Arabidopsis thaliana (thale cress)
Lineage: Eukaryota; Viridiplantae; Streptophyta; Magnoliopsida; Brassicales; Brassicaceae
Description: ATSL001770
Source: RNAcentral
UUUUUGACUAAGUUCAGUUUGUUUUAAAAGAUGUAUAUACAUGAAGAUGUGAAAAACAUGUUGGAUUUGUGGAAUCGCUAAUGACCACGGUUAAAUGGCGGGAUCCAAAAUCCGGUUAUAUUUCACAACGUUGUAUUAAUUUAGUACUUGUAGAACUUUUUUUAAAAAAUAAUCAAAAAAGAAAGAGGUGAAAACCUUUUAAGAAAAGAAAGUAAAAAAAAUAUUAAGCUAAAUAUAUAUGAAGAUGUGAAAAACAUGUUGGAUUUGUAGAAUCGCUAAUGACCACGAUUAAAUGGCGAGAUCCAAAAUCCGGUUAGAUUUCACAACGUAAUAUUAAUUUAGUACUUAUAAAAC